GAUGAACGCUGGCGGCGUGCCUAAUACAUGCAAGUCGAGCGAACAGAUAAGGAGCUUGCUCCUUUGACGUUAGCGGCGGACGGGUGAGUAACACGUGGGUAACCUACCUAUAAGACUGGAAUAACUCCGGGAAACCGGGGCUAAUGCCGGAUAACAUGUUGAACCGCAUGGUUCUACAGUGAAAGGCGGCUUUGCUGUCACUUAUAGAUGGACCCGCGCCGUAUUAGCUAGUUGGUGAGGUAACGGCUCACCAAGGCAACGAUACGUAGCCGACCUGAGAGGGUGAUCGGCCACACUGGAACUGAGACACGGUCCAGACUCCUACGGGAGGCAGCAGUAGGGAAUCUUCCGCAAUGGGCGAAAGCCUGACGGAGCAACGCCGCGUGAGUGAUGAAGGUCUUCGGAUCGUAAAACUCUGUUAUUAGGGAAGAACAAAUGCGUAAGUAACUGUGCGCGUCUUGACGGUACCUAAUCAGAAAGCCACGGCUAACUACGU
Molecule: ribosomal RNA, 496 nt
Filed under: uncultured bacterium
Lineage: Bacteria
Description: partial 16S ribosomal RNA
Rfam family: Bacterial small subunit ribosomal RNA
Source: RNAcentral